Molecule: long non-coding RNA, 354 nt
Organism: Vicia villosa (hairy vetch)
Lineage: Eukaryota; Viridiplantae; Streptophyta; Magnoliopsida; Fabales; Fabaceae
Exons: 4
Source: RefSeq, a predicted model, not a curated record
CCUUCUUUCUCUCUUUUUUCUCUUUCUUCUUCUCUCUUGCUUCCAUAUCCCUCUUCCUUUUGCUCUUCUUCUUCUCCCUUCUUUCUCUUUUGUUACCUGAAACAAUAAUGGUGUCUGAAUCGGUUUACGGAUAUAGACUGGAUCGAGUUUUACCGCUGAGUUAUGAAGCUAACUAGGUCUGAAUAAACAUCAGUUCAAACGUAACAACUGUUAUCGCCUUUGUGAAGUUAGCGCUGACCAAUUUCUUGCAGAAAUUGAAGAGAAGCUGAGGAGUUUGUUUCCAACAAGUGAGCUUUUUCCAGUAUGGCAAUGCUUCUUAGUUUUGGAGAGGCUGUUGCCAGAAGCAAUAUGUGC